CUUAGAGAAAUAAUCCCUGGAUAGAAUUUACGGAACAACUAGCUGAUAACUCUGAAAAGUAAAUAAAAGCAGGCAGACUCAGGAGAGAGAUCAAAAGCCCCCAAAUUGAACCAAUACAGCGGACUUCCUUGAGAAGAGAAAUGUAAAGAUUUUACAAAUGGAGGAAAAAAUAGAAACAAUGGGUUUUCUCUCCUGAAUCUGAAGUACCUGCUGUGUGUUUGAAAGCAUCAUUGGGUCAUAGAGGAAGAUCCCCUGAUCAGAAAGAAUUUUUUAAUCAAAUUGGCUUAUGCUC
Manis javanica (Malayan pangolin) is the source of this 292-nucleotide long non-coding RNA. RefSeq lists it as uncharacterized. The record is from RefSeq and is a predicted model, not a curated record. Lineage: Eukaryota; Metazoa; Chordata; Mammalia; Pholidota; Manidae.